This 933-nucleotide ribosomal RNA is filed under the name uncultured bacterium. Its description in RNAcentral is "bacterial SSU rRNA". It matches the Rfam family "Bacterial small subunit ribosomal RNA", at positions 503 to 1434 of the family's 1533-position model. The record is from RNAcentral.
UUGUGCCAGCCGCCGCGGUAAUACGUAGGGGGCGAGCGUUGUCCGGAUUUAUUGGGCGUAAAGAGCUCGUAGGCGGCUUGGCAAGUCGGGUGUGAAAUCUCCGGGCUCAACUCGGAGGGGCUACUCGAUACUGCCAUGGCUAGAGUCCGGUAGGGGACCAUGGAAUUCCUGGUGUAGCGGUGAAAUGCGCAGAUAUCAGGAGGAACACCAGUGGCGAAGGCGGUGGUCUGGGCCGGUACUGACGCUGAGGAGCGAAAGCGUGGGGAGCGAACAGGAUUAGAUACCCUGGUAGUCCACGCCGUAAACGUUGGGCACUAGGUGUGGGGCCUUAUCAACGGGUUCCGUGCCGUAGCUAACGCAUUAAGUGCCCCGCCUGGGGAGUACGGCCGCAAGGCUAAAACUCAAAGGAAUUGACGGGGGUCCGCACAAGCGGCGGAGCAUGUUGCUUAAUUCGAUGCAACGCGAAGAACCUUACCUGGGUUGAACUACGCAGGAAAAGCUACAGAGAUGUAGUGUCCGCAAGGGUCUGCGAUAGGUGGUGCAUGGCUGUCGUCAGCUCGUGUCGUGAGAUGUUGUGUUAAGUCCCGCAACGAGCGCAACCCUUGUCCUAUGUUGCCAGCGGGUAAUGCCGGGGACUCGUAGGAGACUGCCGGGGUCAACUCGGAGGAAGGUGGGGAUGACGUCAAGUCAGCAUGCCCCUUAUGCCCAGGGCUGCAAACAUGCUACAAUGGCCGGUACAAAGGGCUGCUAUCCCGUGAGGGGGAGCGAAUCCCAUAAAGCCGGUCUCAGUUCGGAUCGAAGUCUGCAACUCGACUUCGUGAAGUCGGAGUCGCUAGUAAUCCCGGAUCAGCAACGCCGGGGUGAAUACGUUCCCGGGCCUUGUACACACCGCCCGUCACACCACGAAAGUUGGUAACACCCGAAAGCCAGUGG